This 253-nucleotide ribosomal RNA is filed under the name uncultured bacterium. RNAcentral's name for it is "partial 16S ribosomal RNA". It matches the Rfam family "Bacterial small subunit ribosomal RNA", at positions 524 to 776 of the family's 1533-position model. The record is from RNAcentral.
UACGGAGGGUGCGAGCGUUGUCCGGAAUCACUGGGCGUAAAGAGCUUGUAGGCGGUUUGUCGCGUCUGCUGUGAAAUUUCGGGGCUCAACCCCGAACUUGCAGUGGGUACGGGCAGACUAGAGUGUGGUAGGGGAGACUGGAAUUCCUGGUGUAGCGGUGAAAUGCGCAGAUAUCAGGAGGAACACCGAUGGCGAAGGCAGGUCUCUGGGCCACUACUGACGCUGAGAAGCGAAAGCAUGGGGAGCGAACAGG